Molecule: ribosomal RNA, 583 nt
Filed under: uncultured Pseudomonas sp.
Lineage: Bacteria; Pseudomonadati; Pseudomonadota; Gammaproteobacteria; Pseudomonadales; Pseudomonadaceae
Description: bacterial SSU rRNA
Rfam family: Bacterial small subunit ribosomal RNA
Source: RNAcentral
ACGGGUGAGUAAUGCCUAGGAAUCUGCCUGGUAGUGGGGGACAACGUUUCGAAAGGAACGCUAAUACCGCAUACGUCCUACGGGAGAAAGCAGGGGACCUUCGGGCCUUGCGCUAUCAGAUGAGCCUAGGUCGGAUUAGCUAGUUGGUGAGGUAAUGGCUCACCAAGGCGACGAUCCGUAACUGGUCUGAGAGGAUGAUCAGUCACACUGAAACUGAGACACGGUCCAGACUCCUACGGGAGGCAGCAGUGGGGAAUAUUGGACAAUGGGCGAAAGCCUGAUCCAGCCAUGCCGCGUGUGUGAAGAAGGUCUUCGGAUUGUAAAGCACUUUAAGUUGGGAGGAAGGGUUGUAGAUUAAUACUCUGCAAUUUUGACGUUACCGACAGAAUAAGCACCGGCUAACUCUGUGCCAGCAGCCGCGGUAAUACAGAGGGUGCAAGCGUUAAUCGGAAUUACUGGGCGUAAAGCGCGCGUAGGUGGUUCGUUAAGUUGGAUGUGAAAUCCCCGGGCUCAACCUGGGAACUGCAUUCAAAACUGUCGAGCUAGAGUAUGGUAGAGGGUGGUGGAAUUUCCUGUGUAGCGG